Molecule: non-coding RNA, 6753 nt
Organism: Phoenix dactylifera (date palm)
Lineage: Eukaryota; Viridiplantae; Streptophyta; Magnoliopsida; Arecales; Arecaceae
Source: RefSeq, a predicted model, not a curated record
UUCAAACUAAUAAUCAUACCUUUUGGUCUUAGCUUAGCUUAGUUUAUAUUGACCAUCCCUUUUACUUUGGUCUAAGAUACAAGUCCAUGUUUGAGAUUAGUUGCCUGAGUCUGUCUCCAUAUAUUACGGUUGAUCAUGGCCAUGUUCUAGGCUUUUGAUCUAUUUUUGACCUAACUGUCCUCCGAUCUCUACCUCCACACUGGAUGAAAUUGUCAUGGUUCCCAAUCCAACAAAAAUCAUAUGAUUCUCGCAUACUCUGGUUUCAUCAAACCUAAUCCAUAUGAUGCUAGCUUAUUCUUAGCUACUAGCUAAAUUGUUAAUAUAGGGUGUAAACACUAUCAUUCAAGUUUAUUGUAUAAUGUGCAAUAGAAAUUUGGCUAUUAAAGCAUUCUAGUUAUUGUAAUUUGUUAUAAUAUUAUAUUGUAAUUUAAAAACUGCUAAAAAAGGAGAAAAACAAUAUGCACUAAGGCUAAUACCAAUGAUGCAAGUACUAAUGAUAGAAGUUUCUAUAUGAAAGUACAACUUAUGCAAAGUAUCUGUGCAAAUAUUAAUAAAGCUAGUACUAAUGACUGAAAUUUUACAUGGCCAUCAUAAAAAUUCCUUGCCUAAUUUGCAACAAAAAAUUGGCUAUAGAACCCUUCUAUUUAUUAUAAUUUAUUUUAUUGCUAUAUUUCAUCUUAAGAAUAAUUGAAAAAAGAAAAGUAACUAUAUCAUGUGCAUAACACAGAUUAUAUGUUAGUACAAAUUAAGACUGAGACUGACAAUAUAGUUAAGAGUAGCUUGGCAAGGAAAUGCAAACGGUGGUGGGGAUCGAGAGAGGGUGGUCUUUGUGGAGCCUUCUCCUUGCUUUGUCGAUAGUAGCUAGGGUGAUAGCCACUGAUAGAGAUGACUUCCCAGAUGGCUUUAUUUUUGGUGCUGGUACCGCUGCCUACCAGGUAAGACAACUAUGCAUCCAUCUGUGUAUGUUUGUAGUGUAUGUGAACCUUGGUAGACAAAUUAAAGGUUGCUUUGGAAAAAAAGUUAUGUAUGUAUGUAUAUAUGUACGUAGACAGACAGACAGACAGACAGACAGACAGACAGACAGACAGAUCGAUCGAUCGAUCGAUCGAUAAAUGAAGCGGGUGGACUAAAUCACCCUCAAGUAGAUAAUGUUAUGAUUUAUGUUGACUAAGUGAAUCCUACUAAAACUUUUCAGGGCAAAAAAAUUGAUGAGCAAUCUUCAGAAUUUUUCAUUUUUUUUGGAUUGAAAAUGAGCUCCAAGUUUCUCGGGUAUUAAAAAUCGAAACACAGCAGCUAUCCUCAUCUCCAGGAACUACUGAUUGGAGUGAAAAUUAAGAUAUUCUUAUCACAAAUAAGUCUUUUACCAUGUUACUUCUUGAAUAUUAAUACAAAAUAGUCUGGCCUUUCCUUGUAAAUCAAAUAAACGAUAUCAUUGAUGGGCUGAUCUCUAGAUUUUUAACGAAAAAGAUAAAUAUGCUCAUGUUUUAGCCCCUGGCUAAUGCUAAAAAUAAUUGCAAAUAAAAUGCAAGUGGAUAAAUAAUUGAGAUCGGUCAGUUUAAUAACAUUUUUUUGGUAUUAAUAAUGGAUGAGAGUUACAACGGUUCUCCUUUUCUGUUGUCUAUUGUUUGGGAAAAUAAAGCACUAACAAAGAACGCAAAUUUAAAGCUGAUUAGCGAUUACUAGCUUAAACCCAUCAAAAUCAGAAUUGCCACAUAAAAAUCAGAAUUUACAAGCAAUGCGGUGAAAACAACAAUAAAAGUUAAAAAAAAAAAAGAAACACAAUUAAGAAAACUAGUUAAUAGACUAAGAUCUGGUAAAGAAACAAGGAUUCAGCUACCCGGUAUCCAUAUGUGACUCAGCUCGUAAGAGGGCUGUUCUGGUGGACUGCAGGCAGAAGGAGCAGUUGCAGAGGAUGGAAGAAAGCCCAGUAUCUGGGAUACUUUCACCCAUGCUGGUCAGUCAAAUACUGUCAUGUCAAGUGUUGUGAAGUAGUAUUUCAGUCUUUAGAUCAAGUCUUAUAGGUUUCCUUGCAGGGAGAAGUAAAGACGAGCACAGGAGACAUAGCAGCAGACCAGUAUCACAAAUACAAGGGCAAGCCUGUCUACUACUCGAAGAGAUGCGCUGCUGUUAUAACACAAGCAUAGUUUGAAGAAUUGCAGGCAAAUAUCCUUUUUUUAUUUGAUGGCAGGAAGAUGUGAAACUGAUGCAUGAGAUGGGCCUGGAAGCUUAUAGAUUUUCCAUCUCCUGGUCCCGGCUUAUUCCCGGUAACUCUGUGGAUGACUUCUUUAUUUUUUGUGUUACAACAGAAGCAUUUAUUAUCCAAAACUUGAGUAUGAUGCUUCAUGGUCCUACUCUUGCAGAUGGGCGAGGACCUGUCAAUCCAAAAGGAUUGCAGUACUACAACAAUCUAAUAAAUGAGCUGUUAAGCUAUGGUAUGGAAAUGAUUAUCUAAGUAAAGAAUCUGAUGUUAUUAGACCUUAUUUAUUUUUUUCAAACAUUGGUAAUCCUGCAGGAAUAGAACCCCAUGUAACUCUUUUACCACUUCGACCUUCCCCAAGCAUUGCAAUAUGAGUAUGCAGGAUUUCUGAGCCCAAAGAUAGUGUAAACUUCUGCACUAAUUAUAUAUAUAUCACAUGAAAAUUUAACUCAUGGUUAUUCAUAAUAGCAAUGCAGCGAAGUGGUUUUAUGAUAUGGUUUUGAUGCAGAGAGGAUUACACAGCUUAUGCUAAUGUCUGCUUUAGAGAAUUUGCUGAUAGAGUGAAGUUCUGGACUACUUUCAGCCCACUACUCGAGUCCUCCCUUUUGUUUUCCCUACAGCUGAAUAUUUGUUUUGAAUAUCCUUAAAGUUAUGGAAACUAUCCUAAAAUACCUUAAUUGUAUGCGCUAUUCAGGAUAUCCGGAGUUAAAUGUUAACAGUACAGCGAAUGCACAUUUUUAUAAUGAUGAUUUGAGAGCAAGCUUCUUACAACAGUACUUAGAAAGCCUGCUUCUGUCUAUAAGGAACGGAUCAAAUACACAAGGAUACUUUGUCUGGUCUUUCAUAGACUGUUUCGAGCUUGCAUUUGGUUAUACUGCUCGCUAUGGCAUCCAUGGAGUUGACUUCAUUGACAAAAAUAAAACAAGGUAUCCAAGAGUUUCUGGGGAGUGGUAUUCCAUGUUUCUCACGAAUGGUGGAUUGAGGAGGAGAACAUCUGGCAAUGCCUAUGUUGAGUAAACAUAGGCCAGAAUCUAUAUUAAGAGGAUAAAACCUAAACAUUUUGAAUCAUAAGCUAUGAUAUGUUAUUUCCUAUUUAGGCUAUAGGCAAAAAACAGAAAUAUAUGCAUGCACUGUGCUCAUGUUAGUUGCAUACUUUGUCUUAAUGAAAAAGCAAGUUCGGGCAUUCCCUAGCUUUUAGAGAGAGAGAGAGAGAUUGUGAAAAUGCUUGUAGCACUGGAUGAAGUUGUAAUUUCAUUAUGAGAUUGGAAAAAAAGAAAGACCAUUAGAAUAUUUUUUUUGCCUUAUUACAUCUUUAUGAUCAUGAAAAAACAUAGGUUCGUGUAGCCUUUUGUUUGCCCAUUCAAAAACCCAGGAAGAAAAAUAAACUAGAUUAUAUAACAUGCAGGAUGAAACUAUUUGUUUUUGAAGUUAUUUGUAAUGUCUUUAACAGAGUGAAAAUAAAAAGCAAUGAAUACCAAAAGCUUUGCUCAAAUGCUGUCUUCAACAUUAGCCUCCCAGUGGUUCAGUAAUUUAUAGGGUUACAAAAACACUGCAAAAAAUGGUAGCAACAGGCCUUUAAUAAUUUGAUUUUCCAGAAUUGCUAUUCAUUAGCUGAGCUAGCACUGAAAGGGUUCUUGAGGUCUCCAUGCUUAUCCACAGAUGACUAGGUUAUGAGCAAUGGCCUCUUCGAAAGAAAAAAAAAAGCUGAAAGGAUCCUAACAAAUUUCACUAGGAGAAUGAAAGGGCAAUCAGGGAGAAAAAAAAAACCAGGGAAGAAGAAAUAAAACCACAACCCAAAGGAGCAAACAAUGAGGGAGACACUGCACAAAUCUAGCAGUUGCAGUUCCAUAGUAACAUACACCAUCAGACACAGCACACUAAUCAUGGCAGAUCCCAAGACAGUUAAUAAUAUCCCAAGACAGUAACAUACACCUGCAGAUCAAAACCACUCUGAAGAACUUGCAAAAGGAUCUCAAGUGAAGGACACAUUCUGAGACCACCUCCAUCUAACCUAAUCUUAAUAGAGAAUUUCUAUAAGCCACUGUCCUCCUCAAACAUAACUUUUGAGAUUGACCUUCUACAUUUCAAAUCCCAUACCAUGCCUUCAGCCAGUACGCUGUAUUAAGAAGAAAAAAAGGCAUCCAUGUUUGCUGCAAUAGAGAAUAUACAUGACAACAAACAUUAAGAGGUAGGUCACCUAGUUACCUCUCCUUGCAAAAUUAUAUAGAUUGCAUUUACUAGAAUGAAAGAAAUCCUACAACUGAAGCUAUCCUUCAUCUUCUAAACCCCUCAAUUGAAUAGUGCGGCUCUAGAGAAAGAUCCAUAAUAGUUGAAGAGCCUUAUAUAAUUUAUACCCAACACAAGCCGUUUCCAAGGAUGAUCUCCUAAAAGAAGCUUCCACUACCAUUUUCCCAACAAAGAUAUGUUAAACUCUUAAAGAUUCUUUAUACCUAGUCUUCCUUGCACUUUAGACUUGCAAAUGAUAUCCCAAUUAAGAAGCAAAAACCAACACUGACUGAACUAUCACCCAUUUACAAGAAAGUUGUCCUUUUGUCAGUUAUGUUAGUAAUCCCACAAAGGAGCACAUAAAGCCCUCGCUGUUUUGCCGAUUAGCACAUUGGCUAGUUUGAUGGGACAUAAUUAAUAAGAUUAAGACUCCACCUAGUGGAAGCACCUUUCCCUUCCAACCAGAAAGCUUCUUGUCAACUGUGUUAGUGGCAGCCGAUCUUCUUCAUGCAAAGAAUCUGGUCUAAGUGUUAGGCCAAGAUAUUCAAUUGGAAAUUACUCAUUCUUACAAUCAAAAAAAUAGAAGUCAGGGGACUCCCCUGAUCAACAUCAUCACCAAAUAUAUAAGUGAGGUCUUGUUAAAGUUUAUCUUCGAAUGAGAGAGAUUCAAAACCGUUUAAUGAAAGCUUUAACUUAACCAUCUUCUCCUUAAGUUCCAGGCUGAAUAUAAGUAUGGCAUGUGCAAACUACAGCAAAUAACCUUUUUACAGGCAAGCCCUUGUCUAGCAAUAAAACCAUUCUCUUAAGCCAUAUAUAUCUUCCCUUCCAAGACAUCAGCUAUAAGACAAAGGAUCACCUUUUCUCAAACCUCUCUUGUAUUUAUUCCAUUUAUCAGACUUCCCAUUUAGCAUGACAGCUUAUUUACCAUGUACUAAGAAAGCCUUGAUCCAAUCAAUCCAUCUAGAGCUAAAACCUCUAGCCUGAAGAACCUUAAGGAGAAACUUCCAGCUGUCAAAACCCUUUUAAAGAUGAAGUUUUUAUGGCACCAAUAAGAUUUCCUGUGCCCCUGCAAAGCUGUCAAGAAUACACUACAUCUUCAUAGCAGAUUGAGACUCAAGAAUAAGAUUAGCCAAUAAUAUUUUCAAUCUAUAUGCCAACACUUUUAAGAUAAUCUUAUGGAUACCAUUUAACAAGCUAAUUUCGCCUAAUAUCACCUAAAUUAUCUGCAGUUUCUUUCCAAACCAACACACUGUAAACACCAUCAAUACAAUCAACAUUAAUGCAACCUUCAUAGAACUCUUGAAACAGCCUUCUGGAGUCCUCCAUUAAUGUCCAAUAUCUCUGAGAAUAUCUGAUUGGCAAGCCAUGAGGAUAUGGAACCUUUCAACAGGAAGAUGAAAAAUUGCUAGUCUAAUUUCUUCCAGAAAGAAAGUAUAUAACAAACUCCAAUUAAAACCUUGCCAAGCAUACAAACUACUUCAAUCAGACUCACUUCCCUUUCCAAAAAGAUCUGUUGAGAACUCAUGAAAAUAUUGGACAAUUUUGUUCUCCUUGAUUUUAUCCCUUUAUGUCCAAACGAACAAUGAACUCUUUUCUUGCUAUUAGCAAUCUUAUAAAAAAUAAAAAGGAGAUAUGAUUGUUUCCCUCUUUAAGCCACAAGCGCCUAGAUCAUUGCCCCUACCAUCUCUUCAUUCUCCAAAAUGCCUUAAAUGGAAUCAUUGUCCAUUUUUUUCUCUCUCAGCCUGAGAUAAAACUUGACAUUCUUCAAUUCUGUCUAUUUUAUGGACUUUCAAUUAAGGCACUUCUUUAGAUUUUUCUGAUAUUUUUCCGCUCCAUUACCUAAUUAAUGUUGUUAAGAGAACUGACCUUCAUACCAAGGCACCUCCUUUGGCUGGAUCACCUAGGCUGUAGCUGCUUAAAGCUCUCCUCCCCAUUCUAUUGACACUAGGAGGGCAGAAGCCCCACAUUUUCUCUUGUAUGAUAGCAAGAAUUGAACCUAGAUCUCUUGCAUGGACACAAGAGACUUCACCUCAGCCAGUUAGCACCUUAUAAAUAUAAUAAAGUUGAAAUUAGUGUUAGCCAAUGAGUUUAGAUGAGUUGUUCGUCAAUGCAACCAAGAAAUGCAGAAUUAAAUACAUAAAGAACUCAAGUAAAUACAGCUAUGACAAAAAAUUGAUUAUGUCAGAUGUUUCAACUUUAAAGCCAUAAAUUAUUACUGAAGUAGAAGAACAUAUAGAAGUAACAUGAAGUUUCAAAAGAUACAUGCUUCUCACUAUGAAUACAGAUAAUCAAGCAAAGAGUUUUAACACCUUUUACCAAAUCAAGCAUAA